This 254-nucleotide ribosomal RNA is filed under the name uncultured bacterium. Its description in RNAcentral is "partial 16S ribosomal RNA". It matches the Rfam family "Bacterial small subunit ribosomal RNA", at positions 524 to 776 of the family's 1533-position model. The record is from RNAcentral.
UACGGAGGGGGGCUAGCGUUGUUCGGAAUUACUGGGCGUAAAGCGCACGUAGGCGGCUUCGUAAGUUAGAGGUGAAAGCCCGGGGCUCAACUCCGGAAUUGCCUUUAAGACUGCAUCGCUAGAAUUGUGGAGAGGUAAGUGGAAUUCCGAGUGUAGAGGUGAAAUUCGUAGAUAUUCGGAAGAACACCAGUGGCGAAGGCGACUUACUGGACACAUAUUGACGCUGAGGUGCGAAAGCGUGGGGAGCAAACAGG